AUUCCUUUUUUUUUUUUUUUUUUUUUUUUUUUUUUAUCAUUUUUCCUUUAGUCUCAGGUGAUUCGUCGCCAUCACCAUUUGGAGAAAAAUCGUCUCCUCUCAUCCCAAAACCCUAGCCGCCGAUGUCGUCGCUGAUUCUCCUCGUCGAUUAAUUUCGUUUAGUCGUUGUCCCCUUACUCGGAAAAAGUUAGGGUUAUGGAUUCCGAAUUAGCAACCAUGGAAGAGAUCACCAAUGGAGUGAACAACAUGAACUUGGCCGUUGAUUCCCAGAAGAAAAGUCGUAUUCAGAUUUCAAACACCAAGAAACGAUUGUUCUUCUACGUCAAUCUCGCCAAGAGGUAUAUGCAGCAAACAAUGAUGUCGAACUCUCUGCCCUUGGAAUGGAUUGAAAUUACGCUUGCAAAGUCAGAGAAGUUUGAUGAACUAAUGGUUGCAGCCAAUGUAGAAAAAGAAGUUACAGAAGCUCAGCUGCCAAGAUUGAGAAUGUAGGAAUUAACUUUUAGUGUGAAUGUCGUUGAAAGCUGUUAUAACCCCUUAGCAAAGUGAGCAGCUGAAAAGAGUGGUUUUGCUACAAUUUGUUUGCUUCAUACAAAAUGAGAAGGAAGGUGUUUAGGAGAAGGAGCUUGCAUGUGGUUGCAGGAGCUUAAGUGGAUUCAAGUUUGGAACUUGUCAAGGUUUUGAGAGCAAAUUUUCACCCAUCUGCUGCAAUCACGCUCUACAUCACGUUCGAAGCCAAUGAUCCUAAAGAUGGUAACCAGACAAAACGUUACCAAGCAGUGGUCCUCUACUUGUCCUUUGAUAUCCAAGUAUGCUCUUGCAAGCCUAAACCAUCUUCUUGAAUUUUUAGAGAUGUGUUAGUUAAGCCCAAUUUUUACAUGAUGAUGAAUAUUAUAAAGAAUAGCUUGUUAUGGAUUGCUCAUGUUUUGCAACGUGAGUUUUGUGAAUGUGCUAUUUUAGAUUUGCAACA
Long non-coding RNA from Arabidopsis lyrata subsp. lyrata, 967 nucleotides. RefSeq lists it as uncharacterized. The transcript is spliced from 7 exons. Lineage: Eukaryota; Viridiplantae; Streptophyta; Magnoliopsida; Brassicales; Brassicaceae. The record is from RefSeq and is a predicted model, not a curated record.